Molecule: ribosomal RNA, 605 nt
Filed under: Xylaria sp. 5133
Lineage: Eukaryota; Fungi; Ascomycota; Sordariomycetes; Xylariales; Xylariaceae
Description: eukaryotic LSU rRNA
Rfam family: Eukaryotic large subunit ribosomal RNA
Source: RNAcentral
CCCUUUCGGGUGCAUCAUCGACCGAUCCUGAUGUCUUCGGAUGGAUUUGAGUAAGAGUUAUAACUGUUCGGACCCGAAAGAUGGUGAACUAUGCGUGGAUAGGGUGAAGCCAGAGGAAACUCUGGUGGAGGCUCGCAGCGGUUCUGACGUGCAAAUCGAUCGUCAAAUAUGCGCAUGGGGGCGAAAGACUUAUCGAACCAUCUAGUAGCUGGUUACCGCCGAAGUUUCCCUCAGGAUAGCAGUGUUGUUCUUCAGUUUUAUGAGGUAAAGCGAAUGAUUAGGGACUCGGGGGCGCUUUUUUGCCUUCAUCCAUUCUCAAACUUUAAAUAUGUAAGAAGCCCUUGUUACUUAAUUGAACGUGGGCAUUCGAAUGUACCAACACUAGUGGGCCAUUUUUGGUAAGCAGAACUGGCGAUGCGGGAUGAACCGAACGCGGGGUUAAGGUGCCGGAGUGGACGCUCAUCAGACACCACAAAAGGUGUUAGCACAUUUAGACAAUAGGACGGUGGCCAUGGAAGUCGGAAUCCGCUAAGGACUGUGUAACAACUCACCUAUCGAAUGUGCUAGCCCUGAAAAUGGAUGGCGCUCAAGCGUCCCACCCAUAU